UACGGAGGGGGCGAGCGUUAUUCGGAAUCAUUGGGCGUAAAGGGCGCGUAGGCGGCCCCGUAAGUCUUGGGUGAAAGCCCUCGGCUCAACCGAGGAAUUGCCUUGGAUACUGCGGGGCUCGAGGCUGGAAGAGGGCAGUGGAAUUCCCGGUGUAGCGGUGAAAUGCGUAGAUAUCAGGAGGAACACCGGUGGCGAAGGCGGGAUCCUGGGCCAGUACUGACGCUGAGGAGCGAAAGCGUGGGGAGCAAACAGG
Molecule: ribosomal RNA, 253 nt
Filed under: uncultured bacterium
Lineage: Bacteria
Description: partial 16S ribosomal RNA
Rfam family: Bacterial small subunit ribosomal RNA
Source: RNAcentral